This 235-nucleotide ribosomal RNA is filed under the name uncultured bacterium. Its description in RNAcentral is "partial 16S ribosomal RNA". It matches the Rfam family "Bacterial small subunit ribosomal RNA", at positions 524 to 757 of the family's 1533-position model. The record is from RNAcentral.
UACGUAGGGUGCAGGCGUUUAAUCGGAAUUACUGGGCGUAAAGCGUGCGCAGGCGGUUGUGCAAGACAGAUGUGAAAUCCCCGGGCUUAACCUGGGAACUGCGUUUGAAACUACAAGGCUAGAGUGUGGCAGAGGGGGGUGGAAUUCCACGUGUAGCAGUGAAAUGCGUAGAGAUGUGGAGGAACACCGAUGGCGAAGGCAGCCCCCUGGGUCAAAACUGACGCUCAUGCACGAA